AACAUACCGAAAGGUAUGCUAAUACGAGAUAAUAUGCUUUUAUCGCAUGGUAGAAGUAUCAAAGCUCCGGCGGUACAGGAUGGACCCGCGUCUGAUUAGCUAGUUGGUGAGGUAACGGCUCACCAAGGCGACGAUCAGUAGCCGACCUGAGAGGGUGAUCGGCCACAUUGGAACUGAGACACGGUCCAAACUCCUACGGGAGGCAGCAGUGGGGAAUAUUGCACAGUGGGCGAAAGCCUGAUGCAGCAACGCCGC
RNAcentral lists this ribosomal RNA (255 nucleotides) under uncultured bacterium. RNAcentral describes it as "partial 16S ribosomal RNA". It matches the Rfam family "Bacterial small subunit ribosomal RNA", at positions 145 to 400 of the family's 1533-position model. The record is from RNAcentral.